This 335-nucleotide unclassified non-coding RNA is filed under the name soil metagenome. RNAcentral's name for it is "partial contains 5.8S ribosomal RNA, internal transcribed spacer 2, and large subunit ribosomal RNA". The stretch from base 1 to 121 matches the Rfam family "5.8S ribosomal RNA", at positions 35 to 154 of the family's 154-position model. The record is from RNAcentral.
GAUGAAGAACGUAGCGAAAUGCGAUAAGUAAUGCGAAUUGCAGAAUUUCCGUGAGUCAUCGAAUCUUUGAACGCACAUUGCGCCCGCCAGUAUUCUGGCGGGCAUGCCUGUUCGAGCGUCAUUUCAACCAUCAAGCCCUGCUUGCGUUGGGGUCCUGCGGCUGCCCGCAGGCCCUGAAAACCAGUGGCGGGCUCGCUAGUCACACCGAGCGCAGUAAUACAUCUCGCUUUGGGCGUGCGGCGGGUUCUUGCCGUUAAACACCCCCUUUUUACCAAGGUUGACCUCGGAUCAGGUAGGAAUUCCCGCUGAACUUAAGCAUAUCAAUAAGCGGAGGA